This is a long non-coding RNA of Capsicum annuum, 1204 nucleotides long. RefSeq lists it as uncharacterized. The transcript has 2 exons. The record is from RefSeq and is a predicted model, not a curated record. NCBI's taxonomy places the organism in Eukaryota, Viridiplantae, Streptophyta, Magnoliopsida, Solanales, Solanaceae.
GUCGGUCCACGUAUUACGCACGAGUCUCGACGUACAAAACUACAACAACUAUGGACAACCACAGAUCAAGUUUCCCUUAUCGAUUUGGGGUCGAAUUAUAUUCUCAAGUUUACAUCUGCUGAGAAUAUGAAUUUCGUUUCUUUUAAGUAAUGGACCUUGAUUCAUCUAUGACACUAUUUGUCUAUUCAACGAUGGGAGCCGAACUUCAUUCCUGAAAAAGCUACCCUCACAUCCUCAGCCAUAUAGGUUCGUCUUCCCCAAUUAUCCACGGAAUACUAUGAUAGUAUUAUUCUACAAUGGGUAGGAAACUCCAUCGGUACAUAAUUAAAAAUUGAUGCAUGCACAAGUUCAACUUUGAGGGGGAAAUAUGCUAGGCUCUACAUCCAAAUUCUCUUUAAUAAUCCAAUUGAGUAUGUCCACAAUUGUUCCAACAAUCUACAGAAGUGAUCAUUUGUGCUUCGACCUGCAGUGAAUCAGGAUAUAGCAAGGAAUAUGGUGAUCAUGGCACUUAUAAUGAGACCCUGUUGGAUAACACAUCCACAUACCUCACUAGUUCGAGCCCCAACCAUCACUCUUAACCCCAUGGAUCAGGACACUAUCUUUGUUGUUUGGAACACCCGGAGAGUUAAUAAUGAGGACUUCAAAAGAAAUUUUAAGGAACUCAUCCGUAAUCGUAACCCCUGUCUAGUUGCUUUGUUGGAAACCAAGAUGUCUAAAUCAUAUCUCUUUAAAGGGAAUUUACUUUUGAUGAUUAUAUUGAGUUUCCUGUCGUUGGUAAUUCAGAGGGAAUGGAAUAAAUAUGGUACUCUCAUGUUCUCCAAGUUACUAUUAAAAAUUGCAUCGAUCAGGAGAUUCAUGCUAUGAUUCAGGUCAUUGUUAAAGAAGCUGGAGAAUCCAGUACUCUGCUACACCUUUCGCUAGCUUAAUGCGGUAGUCGACUUGUUGAGCAAGUUUGGUACUCAGAUUACAUCAUCCACCCAGAUCACUGUUUUGACGUCUCCACCCUCUCCAGUCUUUCCUUUCCUAUAAGAAGAACAAUGUGGAGUUUCAGUUACUAGGAUAAUUUCUAAGUCUUCUAUUAAUAGGCUAGCUAGCUAUGGGAACUUGUCUGUUUUAACUUAUGCUUUGGAUGUUGCUAAUAUCCCUAUUGUAAUAUCAUAGUACUUAUAAUAAUAAUAAUAAUAUCUAUUCUUAUCAACAAAAA